RNAcentral lists this ribosomal RNA (2922 nucleotides) under Klebsiella pneumoniae subsp. pneumoniae. RNAcentral describes it as "bacterial LSU rRNA". It matches the Rfam family "Bacterial large subunit ribosomal RNA". The record is from RNAcentral. Lineage: Bacteria; Pseudomonadati; Pseudomonadota; Gammaproteobacteria; Enterobacterales; Enterobacteriaceae.
GGGUUGUGAGGUUAAGCGACUAAGCGUACACGGUGGAUGCCCUGGCAGUCAGAGGCGAUGAAGGACGUGCUAAUCUGCGAAAAGCGUCGGUAAGGUGAUAUGAACCGUUAUAACCGGCGAUGUCCGAAUGGGGAAACCCAGUGUGAUUCGUCACACUAUCGUUAACUGAAUACAUAGGUUAACGAGGCGAACCGGGGGAACUGAAACAUCUAAGUACCCCGAGGAAAAGAAAUCAACCGAGAUUCCCCCAGUAGCGGCGAGCGAACGGGGAGCAGCCCAGAGUCUGAAUCAGCUUGUGUGUUAGUGGAACGGUCUGGAAAGUCCGACGGUACAGGGUGAUAGUCCCGUACACCAAAAUGCACAGGCUGUGAACUCGAAGAGUAGGGCGGGACACGUGGUAUCCUGUCUGAAUAUGGGGGGACCAUCCUCCAAGGCUAAAUACUCCUGACUGACCGAUAGUGAACCAGUACCGUGAGGGAAAGGCGAAAAGAACCCCGGCGAGGGGAGUGAAAAAGAACCUGAAACCGUGUACGUACAAGCAGUGGGAGCACCUUCGGGUGUGACUGCGUACCUUUUGUAUAAUGGGUCAGCGACUUAUAUUCUGUAGCAAGGUUAACCGUAUAGGGGAGCCGCAGGGAAACCGAGUCUUAACUGGGCGUUAAGUUGCAGGGUAUAGACCCGAAACCCGGUGAUCUAGCCAUGGGCAGGUUGAAGGUUGGGUAACACUAACUGGAGGACCGAACCGACUAAUGUUGAAAAAUUAGCGGAUGACUUGUGGCUGGGGGUGAAAGGCCAAUCAAACCGGGAGAUAGCUGGUUCUCCCGAAAGCUAUUUAGGUAGCGCCUCGUGAACUCAUCUUCGGGGGUAGAGCACUGUUUCGGCUAGGGGGUCAUCCCGACUUACCAACCCGAUGCAAACUACGAAUACCGAAGAAUGUUAUCACGGGAGACACACGGCGGGUGCUAACGUCCGUCGUGAAGAGGGAAACAACCCAGACCGCCAGCUAAGGUCCCAAAGUCAUGGUUAAGUGGGAAACGAUGUGGGAAGGCACAGACAGCCAGGAUGUUGGCUUAGAAGCAGCCAUCAUUUAAAGAAAGCGUAAUAGCUCACUGGUCGAGUCGGCCUGCGCGGAAGAUGUAACGGGGCUAAACCAUGCACCGAAGCUGCGGCAGCGACACUAUGUGUUGUUGGGUAGGGGAGCGUUCUGUAAGCCUGCGAAGGUGACCUGUGAGGGUUGCUGGAGGUAUCAGAAGUGCGAAUGCUGACAUAAGUAACGAUAAAGCGGGUGAAAAGCCCGCUCGCCGGAAGACCAAGGGUUCCUGUCCAACGUUAAUCGGGGCAGGGUGAGUCGACCCCUAAGGCGAGGCCGAAAGGCGUAGUCGAUGGGAAACAGGUUAAUAUUCCUGUACUUGGUGUUACUGCGAAGGGGGGACGGAGAAGGCUAUGUUAGCCGGGCGACGGUUGUCCCGGUUUAAGCAUGUAGGCUGGUUAUCCAGGCAAAUCCGGAUAAUCAAGGCUGAGGUGUGAUGACGAGGCACUACGGUGCUGAAGUAACAAAUGCCCUGCUUCCAGGAAAAGCCUCUAAGCAUCAGGUAACAUCAAAUCGUACCCCAAACCGACACAGGUGGUCAGGUAGAGAAUACCAAGGCGCUUGAGAGAACUCGGGUGAAGGAACUAGGCAAAAUGGUGCCGUAACUUCGGGAGAAGGCACGCUGGUGUGUAGGUGAAGCCCCUGCGGGUGGAGCUGAGACCAGUCGAAGAUACCAGCUGGCUGCAACUGUUUAUUAAAAACACAGCACUGUGCAAACACGAAAGUGGACGUAUACGGUGUGACGCCUGCCCGGUGCCGGAAGGUUAAUUGAUGGGGUUAUCCGUAAGGAGAAGCUCUUGAUCGAAGCCCCGGUAAACGGCGGCCGUAACUAUAACGGUCCUAAGGUAGCGAAAUUCCUUGUCGGGUAAGUUCCGACCUGCACGAAUGGCGUAAUGAUGGCCAGGCUGUCUCCACCCGAGACUCAGUGAAAUUGAACUCGCUGUGAAGAUGCAGUGUACCCGCGGCAAGACGGAAAGACCCCGUGAACCUUUACUAUAGCUUGACACUGAACAUUGAGCCUUGAUGUGUAGGAUAGGUGGGAGGCUUUGAAGCGUGGACGCCAGUCUGCGUGGAGCCAACCUUGAAAUACCACCCUUUAAUGUUUGAUGUUCUAACGUUGGCCCCUUACCGGGGUUGCGGACAGUGUCUGGUGGGUAGUUUGACUGGGGCGGUCUCCUCCCAAAGCGUAACGGAGGAGCACGAAGGUUAGCUAAUCCUGGUCGGACAUCAGGAGGUUAGUGCAAUGGCAUAAGCUAGCUUGACUGCGAGCGUGACGGCGCGAGCAGGUGCGAAAGCAGGUCAUAGUGAUCCGGUGGUUCUGAAUGGAAGGGCCAUCGCUCAACGGAUAAAAGGUACUCCGGGGAUAACAGGCUGAUACCGCCCAAGAGUUCAUAUCGACGGCGGUGUUUGGCACCUCGAUGUCGGCUCAUCACAUCCUGGGGCUGAAGUAGGUCCCAAGGGUAUGGCUGUUCGCCAUUUAAAGUGGUACGCGAGCUGGGUUUAGAACGUCGUGAGACAGUUCGGUCCCUAUCUGCCGUGGGCGCUGGAGAAUUGAGGGGGGCUGCUCCUAGUACGAGAGGACCGGAGUGGACGCAUCACUGGUGUUCGGGUUGUCAUGCCAAUGGCACUGCCCGGUAGCUAAAUGCGGAAGAGAUAAGUGCUGAAAGCAUCUAAGCACGAAACUUGCCCCGAGAUGAGUUCUCCCUGAGACUUUAAGUCUCCUGAAGGAACGUUGAAGACGACGACGUUGAUAGGCCGGGUGUGUAAGCGCAGCGAUGCGUUGAGCUAACCGGUACUAAUGAACCGUGAGGCUUAACCUUACAACGCCGAAG